UGUUUGGGAAUGCAGCUCUAAAUGGGUGGUAAAUUUCAUCUAAGGCUAAAUAUCGACGAGAGACCGAUAGCGAACAAGUACCGUGAGGGAAAGAUGAAAAGAACUUUGAAAAGAGAGUUAAAAAGUACUUGAAAUUGUUAAGAGGGAAGCGCUAGCAAGCAGUCAAGACACAAAGCUAUACUUACUGGGGGACACCGAAAUCAGCUGCGGACCAGAUCGCAAGACUGUGUCGGGUUGAGGACGAGUGGCCGCCGGGUCAUGUAGCUGGGUGUGGGUCAGAGUCAAUUCGGAUGCGCGGCUGAAGGCCAGUGGAAAGGUAGGGUCUCCGGACCUGUUAUAGUCCGCCGGUUGAACCGUGCUCUGGAUUGAGGAUUGAUAAUGGACGCCGUAAGGUUUCGGCGCGGCUCUCCUGUUGGGUGGGACGGCUCCGAGGACAAUGUCCUGUGGGCUGUCUUUGCUUGAUACUGGGUGUCGCUGCCAGAUGUCCAUUCGCGAUUCUGACGAAAUGCUUGCUAUCGACCCGUCUUGAAACACGGACC
This 539-nucleotide ribosomal RNA is filed under the name uncultured soil eukaryote. RNAcentral's name for it is "eukaryotic LSU rRNA". It matches the Rfam family "Eukaryotic large subunit ribosomal RNA", at positions 271 to 667 of the family's 3401-position model. The record is from RNAcentral.